CCCUUAGAUGUCCUGGGCCGCACGCGCGCUACACUGAUGCACUCAACGAGUUUACGACCUUGCCCGAUAGGGUUGGGUAAUCUUUUUAAAAUGCAUCGUGAUGGGGAUAGAUUAUUGCAAUUAUUAAUCUUCAACGAGGAAUUCCUAGUAAGCGCGAGUCAUCAGCUCGUGCUGAUUACGUCCCUGCCCUUUGUACACACCGCCCGUCGCUCCUACCGAUUGAGUGCUCAGGUGAAUAAUUCGGACUGCAGCAAUGUUUGGAUCCCGAACGUUGCAGCGGAAAGUUUAGUGAACCUUAUCACUUAGAGGAAGGAGAAGUCGUAACA
Molecule: ribosomal RNA, 326 nt
Filed under: uncultured eukaryote
Lineage: Eukaryota
Description: partial 18S ribosomal RNA
Rfam family: Eukaryotic small subunit ribosomal RNA
Source: RNAcentral